Molecule: ribosomal RNA, 605 nt
Filed under: Cortinarius atrocaeruleus
Lineage: Eukaryota; Fungi; Basidiomycota; Agaricomycetes; Agaricales; Cortinariaceae
Description: eukaryotic LSU rRNA
Rfam family: 5.8S ribosomal RNA (bases 222-375)
Source: RNAcentral
UAGAGGAAGUAAAAGUCGUAACAAGGUUUCCGUAGGUGAACCUGCGGAAGGAUCAUUAUUGAAAUAAACCUGAUGGGUUGUUGCUGGUUCUCUAGGGAGCAUGUGCACACCUUGUCAUCUUUAUAUCUCCACCUGUGCACUUUUUGUAGACCUUUCAGGUCUAUGUUGCUUCAUUUACCCCAAUGUAUGUUAAUAGAAUGUUGUGCCUAUAUAAUAUAUACAACUUUCAGCAACGGAUCUCUUGGCUCUCGCAUCGAUGAAGAACGCAGCGAAAUGCGAUAAGUAAUGUGAAUUGCAGAAUUCAGUGAAUCAUCGAAUCUUUGAACGCACCUUGCGCUCCUUGGUAUUCCGAGGAGCAUGCCUGUUUGAGUGUCAUUAAUAUAUCAACCUUCUCUUUUUUGAGUUGUUUGGAUGUGGGGGUUUGCUGGCCUCUUAAAUGAUUCAGCUCCCCUGAAAUGCAUUAGCAGAACAACCUGUUCAUUGGCGUGAUAAUUAUCUAUGCUAUUGAAUGUGAGGGCAGUUCAGCUUUCUAACCGUCCUCGGACAAUUCAUCAUUAAUGUGACCUCAAAUCAGGUAGGACUACCCGCUGAACUUAAGCAUAUCA